RNAcentral lists this ribosomal RNA (179 nucleotides) under Vulpes vulpes (red fox). RNAcentral's name for it is "partial small subunit ribosomal RNA". Lineage: Eukaryota; Metazoa; Chordata; Mammalia; Carnivora; Canidae. The record is from RNAcentral.
CUAAAUAGUUCUAUAACAAAACAAUUCGCCAGAGAACUACUAGCAACAGCUUAAAACUCAAAGGACUUGGCGGUGCUUUAUAUCCCUCUAGAGGAGCCUGUUCUAUAAUCGAUAAACCCCGAUAAACCUCACCAUCCCUUGCUAAUACAGUCUAUAUACCGCCACUUCAGCAAACAGAU